Molecule: long non-coding RNA, 399 nt
Filed under: Fukomys damarensis (Damara mole-rat)
Lineage: Eukaryota; Metazoa; Chordata; Mammalia; Rodentia; Bathyergidae
Description: lncRNA (ENSFDAG00000029195.1)
Source: RNAcentral
GCUUAAUUCUCUUCUUCUGUGGUAUUUUAUUAUAGCAGCCAGAGCUAGAGGCAGCGUUAAAGAGCAGUCUGAGUCAAAAGGAUAUCCCAGUAGCUAUGCCAUCUGAACAAGCUUGUAAAUAGAUUUUCCUCCGUGUCUACGAGAAGCUGAAUCAGCCUUUCCUGAUUGUGUGGAGCCAAAGAGAAACACUGAGAGUUGAGGCUGUGGCCAUUCCAAGAUCUGUCUGUCCACUCCAGACCUCUGCACAAAUUUAUGGUGUUGGCCACAGAGAGAAAUACAACAACAUAGAGAUAAAAAGAAAUGGCCAAUCACCUGUCCAGCUGUACACUGAGCCACCAACCAUGUCCUAUAACUGGGGAGUCUUACAGGGUGGAAAAAUUAUAACCCUCUUUUCUGUAA